GAGCAUAUACAAUGAGUUUGUGUUGAAUCUUGCAAAGAUUCAGUUUAGUAUAUAUAAUACUUAUGCUUU
RNAcentral lists this transfer RNA (69 nucleotides) under Calicophoron microbothrioides. RNAcentral's name for it is "tRNA-Cys". Lineage: Eukaryota; Metazoa; Platyhelminthes; Trematoda; Plagiorchiida; Paramphistomidae. The record is from RNAcentral.